AGCAAGACUUUUCAGCCAAACAUC
Molecule: non-coding RNA, 24 nt
Filed under: Mus musculus (house mouse)
Lineage: Eukaryota; Metazoa; Chordata; Mammalia; Rodentia; Muridae
Source: RNAcentral